This 450-nucleotide ribosomal RNA is filed under the name uncultured bacterium. RNAcentral's name for it is "bacterial SSU rRNA". It matches the Rfam family "Bacterial small subunit ribosomal RNA", at positions 29 to 526 of the family's 1533-position model. The record is from RNAcentral.
AACGAACGCUGGCGGCAGGCCUAACACAUGCAAGUCGAACGCCCCGCAAGGGGAGUGGCAGACGGGUGAGUAACACGUGGGAACGUACCUUUCGGUUCGGAACAACUCUGGGAAACUAGAGCUAAUACCGGAUACGCCCGUAAGGGGAAAGAUUUAUUGCCGAAAGAUCGGCCCGCGUCUGAUUAGCUAGUUGGUGAGGUAACGGCUCACCAAGGCGACGAUCAGUAGCUGGUCUGAGAGGAUGAUCAGCCACAUUGGGACUGAGACACGGCCCAAACUCCUACGGGAGGCAGCAGUGGGGAAUAUUGGACAAUGGGCGCAAGCCUGAUCCAGCCAUGCCGCGUGAGUGACGACGGCCCUAGGGUUGUAAAGCUCUUUUACCUGGGAAGAUAAUGACGGUACCAGGAGAAUAAGCCCCGGCUAACUUCGUGCCAGCAGCCGCCGUAAGAC